GUCUACGGCCAUGCUGCCCUGGACGUGCCCGAUCUUGUCUGAUCUCGGAAGCCAAGCAGAGUCGGGCCUGGUUAGUACUUGGAUGGGAGACCACCUAGGAAGACCAGGUGCUGUAGGCG
RNAcentral lists this ribosomal RNA (119 nucleotides) under Pteropus alecto (black flying fox). Lineage: Eukaryota; Metazoa; Chordata; Mammalia; Chiroptera; Pteropodidae. The record is from RNAcentral.